This 582-nucleotide ribosomal RNA is filed under the name Clostridioides difficile. RNAcentral's name for it is "partial 23S ribosomal RNA". It matches the Rfam family "Bacterial large subunit ribosomal RNA", at positions 1913 to 2493 of the family's 2925-position model. The record is from RNAcentral. Lineage: Bacteria; Bacillati; Bacillota; Clostridia; Peptostreptococcales; Peptostreptococcaceae.
UUAAGCCCCAGUAAACGGCGGCCGUAACUAUAACGGUCCUAAGGUAGCGAAAUUCCUUGUCGGGUAAGUUCCGACCCGCACGAAAGGCGUAACGAUUUGGGCACUGUCUCAACAACAGACUCGGUGAAAUUGUAAUUCCGGUGAAGAUGCCGGAUACCUGCGACAGGACGGAAAGACCCCAUGGAGCUUUACUGUAGCUUGACAUUGGGUCUUGGUACUACAUGUACAGGAUAGGUGGGAGGCUUUGAAACCAGGACGCCAGUUUUGGCGGAGCCAUCCUUGGGAUACCACCCUUGUAGUACUGGGACUCUAACCAUAGGCCAUGAAUCUGGUCUUGGGACACUGUCAGGUGGGCAGUUUGACUGGGGCGGUCGCCUCCCAAAAGGUAACGGAGGCGCUCAAAGGUUCUCUCAGUACGGUCGGAAAUCGUACGUAGAGUGUAAAGGCAAAAGAGAGCUUGAUUGCAAGACAUACAGGUCGAGCAAGGAUGAAAAUCGGACUUAGUGAUCCGGUGGUUCUGCGUGGAAGGGCCAUCGCUCAACGGAUAAAAGCUACCCUGGGGAUAACAGGCUUAUCUCCCCC